GGGCGAAUAGCUCAGCCGGGAGAGCACUUCCCUUACAAGGAAGGGGUCACAGGUUCGAGCCCUGUUUCGCCCA
Molecule: transfer RNA, 73 nt
Filed under: Chloroflexota bacterium
Lineage: Bacteria; Bacillati; Chloroflexota
Also listed under: 1 other name
Description: Chloroflexi bacterium (anaerobic digester metagenome) tRNA-Val
Rfam family: tRNA
About the family: Transfer RNA (tRNA) molecules are approximately 80 nucleotides in length. Their secondary structure includes four short double-helical elements and three loops (D, anti-codon, and T loops). Further hydrogen bonds mediate the characteristic L-shaped molecular structure. tRNAs have two regions of fundamental functional importance: the anti-codon, which is responsible for specific mRNA codon recognition, and the 3' end, to which the tRNAs corresponding amino acid is attached (by aminoacyl-tRNA synthetases). tRNAs cope with the degeneracy of the genetic code in two manners: having more than one tRNA (with a specific anti-codon) for a particular amino acid; and 'wobble' base-pairing, i.e. permitting non-standard base-pairing at the 3rd anti-codon position.
Source: RNAcentral